RNAcentral lists this long non-coding RNA (1260 nucleotides) under Marmota monax (woodchuck). The record is from RNAcentral. Lineage: Eukaryota; Metazoa; Chordata; Mammalia; Rodentia; Sciuridae.
UUUGAGACAGGUUCUCACUAAGUCACUUAGGGGCUUGCUAAGUUGCUGAGUCUGGCCUUGGACUUGCAGUCUUCCUACCUCAGCUGAGUCUUGUGCCACCAUGCCCAGCUCAUUAACAUUUCUAAGGUGGAACAGAUACUGGUAUCGAUAGGUACUAGUAAACUGUGAGGACUGGAUCAGCAAGGGGCUGCCUUGCAGAGGUGGUCAGAUAACCAGCAGGUUUGAGGAAACAGGUGGGAGACUGGAGUGGCUUAGAGAAGUGGACCCUUGGUCAGGUACUUGGGAGUUGUUCCUGCUGCAGCUGAGUUCCCCCAGUAGGCAGAGGGCAUAAGGUAUGCAAGCCUGGGGUCUGGGCCAAGAGUAGAGCUUUGGAGGAGUUUGGGCUUCUCUUCUUCUUGGAGAGAAGUACAGUAGAUAUGGGGGAGGGAGACAGCUUUUUAGUAAUAAACCUUUUAAGAGUUCAUGAAGAGGACUCGGGCUGUAGUUCAGUGGUAAAGUGCUUGCCUCGCUUUACUGGGCUUGUUCUUAUAUGUCCCACAGCUCCGCCAGUCAGCCAAGCCAGCAAACAGCAUUCAAAAGACAUUCUCAGAGGAGGACAUACAAUCAAUCAACAAGUACAUGAAAAAAUGCUCACCAUCUCUAGCAGUCAGAGAAAUGCAAAUCAAAACCACCCUAAGAUACCAUCUCACUCCAGCAAGAUUGGCAGCCAUUAUGAAGCCAUUGCGAGGAUGUGGGGAAAAGGGUACACUUGUACAUUGCUGGUGGGACUGCAAAUUGGUGCGGCCAAUUUGGAAAGCAGUAAGGAGAUUUCUUGGAAAGCUGGGAAUGGAACCACCAUUUGACCCAGCUAUUCCCCUAAAGACCUAAAAAGAGCAUGCUACAGGGACACUGCUACAUCGUUGUUCAUAGCAGCACAAUUCACAAUAGCAAGACUGUGGAACCAACCUAUAUGCCCUUCAAUAGACGAAUGGAUAAAAAAAAAAUGUGGCAUUUAUACACAAUGGAGUAUUACUCUGCAUUAAAAAAUGACAAAAUCAGAAUUUGCAGGGAAAUGGAUGGCAUUAGAGCAGAUUAUGCUAAGUGAAGCUAGCCAAUCCCUAAAAAACAAAUGCCAAAUGUCUUCUUUGAUAUAAGGAGAGUAACUAAGAACAGAGUAGGGAAGAAGAGCAUGAGAAGAAGAUUAACAUUAAACAGGGAUGAGAGGUAGGAGGGAAAGGGAGAGAGAGGGGAAAUUACAUGGAAAUGGAAGGAGACCCUCAG